Molecule: long non-coding RNA, 1038 nt
Filed under: Homo sapiens (human)
Lineage: Eukaryota; Metazoa; Chordata; Mammalia; Primates; Hominidae
Description: long intergenic non-protein coding RNA 2316
Source: RNAcentral
ACUCAUGCCCUCUCCCUCUAGUGUGGGAAAACAAGAGGAACCUCCAAAAUUUCCUAGCUGCACAAAGAAAUUGGUGGAAAUUCACUUCAUUUUGAAGCUCGGGGUUUCUAUGUGGUUGAUUUAAUCAAAAUAUUAAUGUGAUUUUUCUAGAAGAAGAAAAAGGGAAAAUAUAAAAAUCAUGCUGAUUGGAUUUGAAUAGAUUGUAUUGAUCAUAUAUGAAUAUUAUCUUUCAUCCAGAUUGGAAAGUACUGUUUUGAAAUCCAGUCCUUCACACUUCCAAACUGAUCAUUUUUAAUAAGUAAAUGUCAUUUUGGCUUUUUUUUUUUUUUUCUGGUCAGGAAGAAAAACAAGAAGUUUCCUUCCGCAAACUUCCUAAAAGGUGCCAUGUGUUUUCCUAAAACCAAGGAAAAUUCUAAAAUAGAACUACCAUAUGAUUCAGCAAUCCCACUUGUUAUUCAAUAAUAUGACUCCAGGUAUUGCUGUGAGGGGAUUUUGAAGAUGUAGUUAAAGCCCCAAAGUGGUUGACUUUUUACAAUACGGAGAGCAUUUGGUUGAGACUGAUCUAAUCACAUGAGCCCUUUCAAAGCAGAAUUUUCUCGGGCUAGUAGCAGAAUGGGAAUUGGAAAUUUAAAGUGCAAGAAGGAACUAAUGUGAAGAAGAUUCUCCAUUGCUGAGAUGGAGUGGGGCACGUGGCAGGGAUCUAAGAGUGGCCUCCAGAAGGUGAGAGUGGUCCCUGGUUGACAGCCAGGAAUGCAGUGGAUACCUUAGUCUACUACUGCAAGGAAAUGAAUUCUGCCAACAGCCUGAGUGACCUUGGAAGCAUAUCUUUCUCUAGUCAAGACUCCAGAUAAGUACACAUCUGGACAACACCGUAUUUUCAGCUUUAUAAGAUCCUAAGUAGAGAGCCAAGUUAAAAUUUGCUGGAAUUCUGACCCAGGCAACUGUGAGAUAAUAAAAUUUUGUCACUUUAAGUUGCUAAAUUUAUGGUAAUUUGCUACAUAGCAAAAGAAAAAGUUGCUAAUAAAUAACUUCAAAUCU